This 579-nucleotide unclassified non-coding RNA is filed under the name Zea mays. Its description in RNAcentral is "misc RNA Zm00001eb334040". Lineage: Eukaryota; Viridiplantae; Streptophyta; Magnoliopsida; Poales; Poaceae. The record is from RNAcentral.
CCGCCGCGCACGCCAUGGCUGAAGAAAGCGCCGCUGGGCCGGCCUUUCUGCUGCUUGCGCGGCAAGAUCGACCGGCAGCUGCUAACGGAGUGGCGGACGGUGACUCAACCGACUGCCGUGCUGGAAGCUGGGCUGGACCGCUGGAGGUAUCGCGAUGCUAAAUUCCUAACCAGCCGACUGGGUCAAUCACAUCAGCGUCCGGAAGGUGGGCGGCUAGCUCAGCUUCUGGUCCUCCAACCACCGGAAAGGUCGAGAGGAGCCAGGGGAAGAUGGAAAGGAGAUGAGGAAAGGUCGAGCAAGGAAGACAUGGAUGGAAAAGCCUGGUGCCUAGGAAUCGAAUCGGGUGCUUUGCUUUUGCUGUGCUCUGGACUGCCAGAUGCAAGCUCCGAGGGUGACUCCAGUCGAAUCCCCUGCUUUUCUCCGCCGGCUGGCUGCAGGCUGGAGCUGGUGCGGCGGACAGGCAGAGAAGAGAAGAGCCCUCCAGAUUUCUUGAGCAGAGUUUGAGACAGCUUGCCCAACUCAAAACAUAUUUGUGAUAUCCUCGCUGAGCGUGCCAGAAAAAUCUUAGAAUAGAAGUUU